This 342-nucleotide long non-coding RNA is filed under the name Brassica napus (rape). Its description in RNAcentral is "long non-coding RNA (BNAP_LNC022490)". Lineage: Eukaryota; Viridiplantae; Streptophyta; Magnoliopsida; Brassicales; Brassicaceae. The record is from RNAcentral.
UACAUCUGAAAGCGAUACAAUUAUACAAACGUUUUAAUUCAGUAGUCAAACCUUAAACACACAACAACAAAGUUAGAUGCUAUAAAUUAGAUGUUACAAGCAAGGACUUGUCGGCUUUAUUUUACACUGCCUACACUAAAAUCCUAAUACAAGUCUUUGAAAACAAUGCAAGUAAUUUCAUCAAAACCUAUACAAAACUUCAAAUCCCCAAAAAAGCUUCCUCAGAAAACACCUGCUUAUGUCAUGUUUCAAUUCCACACGCAAAGUAAGAUUCCAAUACUUUCUUAAUCACAUUACAACUCAUGUUGGAUAUAUUGUGUAUACAUCACAAAUGAUUCUAGC